This 237-nucleotide ribosomal RNA is filed under the name uncultured bacterium. Its description in RNAcentral is "partial 16S ribosomal RNA". It matches the Rfam family "Bacterial small subunit ribosomal RNA", at positions 100 to 334 of the family's 1533-position model. The record is from RNAcentral.
CCGGCACGGGUGAGUAACACGUAUCCAACCUGCCGUCUACUCUUGGACAGCCUUCUGAAAGGAAGAUUAAUACAAGAUGGCAUCAUGAGUCCGCAUGUUCACAUGAUUAAGGGUAUUCCGGUAGACGAUGGGGAUGCGUUCCAUUAGAUAGUAGGCGGGGUAACGGCCCACCUAGUCUUCGAUGGAUAGGGGUUCUGAGAGGAAGGUCCCCCACAUUGGAACUGAGACACGGUCCAA